This 468-nucleotide ribosomal RNA is filed under the name uncultured organism. RNAcentral describes it as "partial 16S ribosomal RNA". It matches the Rfam family "Bacterial small subunit ribosomal RNA", at positions 331 to 796 of the family's 1533-position model. The record is from RNAcentral.
GUACACUCCUGCGGGAGGCAGCAGUGAGGAAUAUUGGACAAUGGGUGGAAGCCUGAUCCAGCCAUCCCGCGUGCAGGAAGACGGCCCUAUGGGUUGUAAACUGCUUUUAUCUGGGGAUAAACCUACUUACGUGUAAGUAGCUGAAGGUACCAGAAGAAUAAGCACCGGCUAACUCCGUGCCAGCAGCCGCGGUAAUACGGAGGGUGCAAGCGUUAUCCGGAUUUAUUGGGUUUAAAGGGUCCGUAGGCGGACUGAUAAGUCAGUGGUGAAAUCCGACAGCUUAACUGUCGAACUGCCAUUGAUACUGUUAGUCUUGAGUAAGGUUGAAGUGGCUGGAAUAAGUAGUGUAGCGGUGAAAUGCAUAGAUAUUACUUAGAACACCAAUUGCGAAGGCAGGUCACUAAGUCUUAACUGACGCUGAUGGACGAAAGCGUGGGGAGCGAACAGGAUUAGAAACCCUUGUAGUCC